This is a long non-coding RNA of Belonocnema kinseyi, 412 nucleotides long. RefSeq lists it as uncharacterized. The record is from RefSeq and is a predicted model, not a curated record. The transcript has 4 exons. NCBI's taxonomy places the organism in Eukaryota, Metazoa, Arthropoda, Insecta, Hymenoptera, Cynipidae.
AUAGUGUUCUAUUUUAUUUAUGAACUUUUGGAAAAUUCAAAAAUUAUAAGGUUGAACAAAGAAGUUGGUGAAGCAUUAGACUCGUUGAGGCUAGGCCAUUUGGAAAAAAAUUCAAGGGACCAUCAUUAUGUGUGCCGCCCAAAACAAGGGACUUCCUGACAAAUUUUGAAACGAGUGACAAACAUGUGAAUCAUCAAGGUCCAUCAUUAGGUAUGCCACCAAAAACAUAGGACUUUCUGGAAAAUUUUGGGAAGAAUAACGAACAUGCAAAUCAUCAGGAGUUCAGGUCGCCUCCUGCAGAGACAUCUCUUCGUGUCAGUUUGAGGUCUCCUACUGACAGGCGCGCUUCUUCCCUUCCUUCUACCUUACUUAAGUUUGGAAUAAUAAAUGUGUGCCCAUGCCAACUGAGGAA